AAUAAUCCCUCUAAACAUGAAAAGCACCUAAUUAAGGAAAAUGAACAACUUGUUAAAAUUCUGGUAUUGCAAUUGUGGUUGAAACGAAAACCAGCAUACACAGGGGUACUCCAGGACUGAGGUUGGGAACCACUGGGCUAUUGGAUCAAACCUGAAAAGGCUAUGGGGAGACUGGCCUGAAGGCUCUGAUGCCAACAAUAAUAGGAGGAACUUGGUGGGUGGUACAUUUCCUGUGAGCACUUAACCACUUCCUGAGAGGCUACACGACCUGUGCACCACCUAGAGCAGCUCCUCCCAAAUUUGUGCAGACCAGCGGAGAGAGAAGAUUGGAUAAUUGGAGGCACCUGUGAUGCAGUCUACGUAAUUGGCUUGGUGCUAAGUCUCAUCGUCUCUUUCUCCCAGAUUUCCUCCCUCAUGUCAGACCUUUUGGCUGUGGGUCUUGGCAUGGGCCUGGUACAUUUCCUACUACAAUUCUUGUAUC
Molecule: long non-coding RNA, 481 nt
Organism: Anguilla rostrata (American eel)
Lineage: Eukaryota; Metazoa; Chordata; Actinopteri; Anguilliformes; Anguillidae
Exons: 3
Source: RefSeq, a predicted model, not a curated record